AGUGAACGCUGGCGGUAGGCCUAACACAUGCAAGUCGAACGGCAGCACAGUAAGAGCUUGCUCUUACGGGUGGCGAGUGGCGGACGGGUGAGGAAUACAUCGGAAUCUACUUUUUCGUGGGGGCUAACGUAGGGAAACUUACGCUAAUACCGCAUACGACCUCCGGGUGAAAGCAGGGGAUCUUCGGACCUUGCGCGAUUGUAUGAGCCGAUGUCGGAUUAGCUAGUUGGCGGGGGAAAGGCCCACCAAGGCGACGAUCCGUAGCUGGUCUGAGAGGAUGAUCAGCCACCCUGGAACUGAGACAGGGUCCAGACUCCUACGGGAGGCAGCAGUGGGGAAUAUUGGACAAUGGGCGCAAGCCUGAUCCAGCAAUACCGCGUGGGUGAAGAAGGCCUUCGGGUUGUAAAGCCCUUUUGUUGGGAAAGAAAAGCAGCAGGUUAACACCCCGCUGUUCUGACGGUACCCAAAGAAUAAGCACCGGCUAACUUCGUG
Molecule: ribosomal RNA, 492 nt
Filed under: uncultured bacterium
Lineage: Bacteria
Description: partial 16S ribosomal RNA
Rfam family: Bacterial small subunit ribosomal RNA
Source: RNAcentral